This 254-nucleotide ribosomal RNA is filed under the name uncultured bacterium. RNAcentral describes it as "partial 16S ribosomal RNA". It matches the Rfam family "Bacterial small subunit ribosomal RNA", at positions 524 to 777 of the family's 1533-position model. The record is from RNAcentral.
UACAGAGGUCUCGAGCGUUGUUCGGAUUCAUUGGGCGUAAAGGGCGCGUAGGCGGCGGGGUAAGUCUGGUGUGAAAUCUCGGAGCUCAACUCCGAAAUUGCACUGGAUACUGCUCUGCUAGAGGGCUGGAGAGGAGAUCGGAAUUCACGGUGUAGCAGUGAAAUGCGUAGAUAUCGUGAGGAAGACCAGUGGCGAAGGCGGAUCUCUGGACAGCUCCUGACGCUGAGGCGCGAAGGCUAGGGGAGCAAAACGGG